RNAcentral lists this ribosomal RNA (639 nucleotides) under Triticum aestivum (bread wheat). Its description in RNAcentral is "partial small subunit ribosomal RNA". Lineage: Eukaryota; Viridiplantae; Streptophyta; Magnoliopsida; Poales; Poaceae. The record is from RNAcentral.
AUGAAGAGCAACCGAGCCCCGGGCCCGGAUAACAUACCUGCGGAGUUCUAUAAACAUUGCUGGGAGUUUGUGAAAAAAGAUAUUAUGCGUUUGUUUGAUGCCUUUCACAACAACACGUUAGAUGUGGCUCGGCUGAAUUAUGGGGUGAUUACCCUUAUCCCUAAGAUGAAUGGAAAAAAAAUCCAGCAAUAUAGGCCUAUUUGUCUGCUAUGAUGUCCUUACAAGCUGAUUACCAAAGUGUUGGACAAUAGAGCUUCCAUGUUUGCAGAUAUACUCAUCAGCAAACAUCAAAAUGCCUUCAUAAAACAUAGUAAUAUUAUGGAUGGCAUCUUAACCCUUCAUGAAAUUCUUCAUCACACACAAAGGAAAAAGAAAAUUGGUGUGGUGUUGAAACUCGAUUUCAAAAAAGCAUAUGAUAAGAUCAAUUGGGAUUUUCUUCUUAAAUGCCACAACAACAGGGGUUUUGGCCCGGUGUGGUGUGGAUGGAUCCAGAAUAUCCUUAGGAAUGGGACCAUUAACAUCAAACUGAAUAAUAAAAGUCCUUAUUUCCAAAGCUGCAAGGGAGUGCGACAAGGGGACCCGCACUCACCUUUCUUAUUCAAUAUGGCUGUGGAAGCCUUAUCCAAAAUGAUCCUGAAU